UUUAGGCCAUAGCGCGUCAAAGGCAAAGUGA
Molecule: non-coding RNA, 31 nt
Filed under: Homo sapiens (human)
Lineage: Eukaryota; Metazoa; Chordata; Mammalia; Primates; Hominidae
Source: RNAcentral